This 1007-nucleotide ribosomal RNA is filed under the name Hildenbrandia sp. Its description in RNAcentral is "LSU rRNA". It matches the Rfam family "Eukaryotic large subunit ribosomal RNA", at positions 981 to 1979 of the family's 3401-position model. Lineage: Eukaryota; Rhodophyta; Florideophyceae; Hildenbrandiales; Hildenbrandiaceae. The record is from RNAcentral.
CUGGAGUGGUGUUGUUUCUGUGCGGUAAAGCGAAUGAUUAGCGCAUUUGGGGACCAAGGUCCUCUGGCGAUUCUCAAACUUUAAAUGCGCGAGAACCGUCUGGUUGCUUUACGGAACCAGGCGGGCAGAAAACGCCAGCCUUGUGGGCCACUUUUGGUAAGCAGAACUGGCGAUAAGGGAUGAACCUUAAGCACGGUUAAGGCGCCGAACUACGCGCUUAUAGACCCCACAAAAGGUGUUGAUUCAUUUAGACAGCAGGACGGUGGCCAUGGAAGUCGGAAUCCGCUAAGGAGUGUGUAACAACUCACCUGCCGAAUGCAUUAGCCCUGAAAAUGGAUGGCGCUCAAGCGCGUGGCCGACACCGUGCCGUUGGAUUUACUGAUGAAUCCGAUGAGUAGGAGGGCGUGGGGGUGCUUGGGAAGUGCGCGCGCAAGCGUGGAUGGAAGCGCCUCUAGUGCAGAUCUUGGUGGUAGUAGCAAAUAUUCAAGCGAGAUCCUUGAAGGGCGAAGUGGGGAAGGGUUCCACGCGAACAUUGAUUGGACGUGGGUGAGUCGUUCCUAAGCGAAGCGGCAAUCGCGCUUGCAUUCGCGAAAGGGAAGCCAGUUAAAAUUCUGGCGCACGGGCACGGACAUAGUGGUGACACGCAUUUUUGCAUGAUGGGUGGGGGCGAGCACGCUGGCGAGCGCCUCGGGCAAGAGUUGUCUUUUCUGUUUAAAUUUCUUGUGGUUGGUGUGGAAGAACGUUAUGUUGAGAAACACAACCCGGGAUGAAGAGCGCUGCGAUUUGUGCAGCGUCCGGAGCGCGCUCGACGGCCCUUGAAACCUUGUUCUCCCAAUAGUCUCUUUGGAGGCUGAGAGUCCGUGGCGUGACGUACCGAUAACCGCAUCAGGUCCCCAGGUCUCAGACACUCUGCUCAGUAUGAAUAAUGCAGGUAAGGGAAUUCGGCAAAAUAGACCCGUAACUUUGGGAAAAGGGUUGGCUCUAGUGGUGCGUGUGGGAAAUGGUUG